Molecule: ribosomal RNA, 120 nt
Filed under: Wenxinia marina
Lineage: Bacteria; Pseudomonadati; Pseudomonadota; Alphaproteobacteria; Rhodobacterales; Roseobacteraceae
Source: RNAcentral
GGUCUGGUGGCCAUGGCACGAGGUAAACACCCGAUCCCUUCCCGAACUCGGAAGUUAAGACCCGUCGCGCUGAUGGUACUGCGUCUCAAGACGUGGGAGAGUAAGUCACCGCCAGACCUG